This is a long non-coding RNA of Cyanistes caeruleus (blue tit), 1291 nucleotides long. RefSeq lists it as uncharacterized. Lineage: Eukaryota; Metazoa; Chordata; Aves; Passeriformes; Paridae. The record is from RefSeq and is a predicted model, not a curated record.
AGCUGUUGCAAAUGUAGGGUAGCACAUGCUAAUUUCAACUAUUUUCACUGGGGCUCAGCUGAUGCAUGGCAGCCAUUAAGCCAAAGUAGCUCAGUCACAUGUCUGAAAUCUGAUUUAAGGAAUCUGGGUUCAUCUUGGUUCAGGAAGUGGAUCACUAGGUUUCUGCUCAGUUUGUAACUUCUUGGGACAGCCGUUUCAUCUUGGGUUUUCUCAUGUGUUUAAACUGUAGUAAUGGUGCCAGCUCACAAAUAUGAAAUGUUCUGAGGAAAGUGAAAAGAAAAGGGAAUGUUAUGACAGGAUGUUUGGAUUUUAUUGACUAAAAGUGUGGAGGAUGUUGAACUUUGGCAGAACUAAAUGCAAGUUUUUAUUCUUAUCCCCAUUAAUAUUUGAGUAAAUCCAAUGUGUUUAAAGGAGUUUUGCUGGUAGGAACAAGGGCAGACUCUUGCUGAAGUGAUCUGGCCUUCUAUUGGCAAGCACACAUAAUCUCAGCUGAGAUCUGCCACAUUUCAUGGGAAACGCUGAGGAAAGGAUGGAAAAUCAGGAAAUGUGAAUUUUAUUUACCACUUGCUAACUUUAGGACUUUAAAAAGUAUCAUAUGUCCCUAUCCUCUCAGGAAAGUGGUACUCUAAGCAUUGUGCCAGUUCUCCAAGUGACAGAUGCUCUUUGAGGACUUGAAGAUAAUAGACUCACAAACUUCAACGAAAGUCGUCUGACACCACUCCUGUGUGCAUUUACAGUGGAUGCUAACAUGGAACGGCAGAGCAAGAUUUGAAGCUCUGGAUUUGGGGUCCUCCCUUGUAAAUAUAUGCAGCCUUUGCCUAGUUAUUCAUCAGACUAAAGAUUUUCAAAAGAGCUGUGCUAGCCCCCUCAGCUACUGCUUCUGGGCUGGCAGAAGCAGCUGUCUCUUACCAUUAUGCCUGGAGGAAGCGGUGGCAUUUGCCAGCAACUCCCUUUGUGUCAAACUCAUUUUCUACAUUCUCUUAUUUCAUUUGCAUAGUCAACUGGUCCUUAUGCCUCAAGAAAAUCAGGAGAGCAUGUGAGGAAUAAGUUGUUAGAAAUGGAGGUGCAUGAACAGACGUCAUUAUAUUCCCGACAGAUCUGCCAGCUCACGAGAACAUAACACCAGAGAGAGACUCUCUGUACUCACAGUUGACAGUACUAAAAUAAAGAAGGCAGCUCCCCCGCUCCCUCGCGUUUCAGGAAAUCAUUGUGUAAAUGCAGUGAAAUAUAUCCGUGAGCCCUCUCUUCACUGUGAUGCCCUUCUGGUGGACAGGGCUUAUUGAUGUCAGGA